GCCCUCCUGCCGUGUACGCGUUUGCCAAUAUUCCUUGAACCAUUCACGCGCAUCGGCUGCGGGAUUCGUUUAGUAGGCGUGAGCGUCGCUCGUCCGACGAUCCCAAUACUGAACUACUGUGGCCACCUUGAACCGAAAGGUUCGGGAUGCCGGCUAGCGGCACAGGCGGGAAUUUC
RNAcentral lists this non-coding RNA (176 nucleotides) under Oxalobacteraceae bacterium. RNAcentral's name for it is "6S RNA". It matches the Rfam family "6S / SsrS RNA". Rfam says of the family: E. coli 6S RNA was the first non coding RNA to be sequenced, but its function was unknown until recently. Lineage: Bacteria; Pseudomonadati; Pseudomonadota; Betaproteobacteria; Burkholderiales; Oxalobacteraceae. The record is from RNAcentral.